RNAcentral lists this ribosomal RNA (1383 nucleotides) under Triticum aestivum (bread wheat). RNAcentral's name for it is "partial small subunit ribosomal RNA". The record is from RNAcentral. Lineage: Eukaryota; Viridiplantae; Streptophyta; Magnoliopsida; Poales; Poaceae.
AUGCCAUCCUUUGUGGCGCGUCGGAAAAAACCAGAGCUCGUGCUACCGGCGCAAGCAACACCGCACGAGACUCUGGCUCUCUCCGACGUUGACGACGCCAUAGACCUGCGAUUUCUGCAGCCUGCCAUCGAGUUCUUUCGUGCUGUCGACAUCGACAUUGAUGACCACGGGCUGGGGCGGCCUGCCACAGCUGCCAAGGUAGUCAAGGCGGCCCUCGCGAAGGCUCUGGUGCACUACUACCCGCUGGCAGGCCGUCUCCGGGAGGCUGCUGGGGGAAAACUAGCCGUCGAGUGCACAGGGGAAGGCGUCGUGUUCGUGGAGGCGGAGGCAGACGUGUCCAUGGAUGAGCUCGGCAAGCCGUCGCCUCUGCCACCAUACCCGUGCGUGGAAGAACUGUUGUGCGAGGUGGGCGACCCUAGGGUUGUUCUUGGAGUUCCCUUGUUCUUCAUGCAGGUAACCCAGCUGAGAUGUGGAGGAUUUGUGAUUGGUCUUCACAUAUGCCACAACAUCGCCGACGGCUACGGCACCACUCAAUUCCUGAAAUGCAUCGCCGACUUGGCUCGUACCGGUGGUGAUGCCUCCCAAAUCGUAUUGCCCGUGUGGAAUAGAGAGAUCCUGACCGCACGCAUCCCACCGCACAUAAACCCAGAAUUCGUGGGAUUCCUCCAAAGAUUAGGCAGCAAAGGCGAUGAUGUUAUGUUGUCAACACCGCCGGAAGAAAUGGUCGUCCGCUUCUUCCUCUUCGGCCCAGAAGACAUCGCAGCACUACGUAGCCACCAUGCCCCCGCACAUCUUUCGCCACCAGCGACAAGCUUCGAGCUUCUGACCGCGGUCAUGUGGCGUUGCCGCACGGUGGCGCUCGGCUAUGAGCACCACCAGCGGGUGGGCCUAAUUUUCUCUAUGAAUGUGCGCGGGGGUGGGAAGCGCCAUGGACUCGUCCCGCAUGGGUUUUACGGCAACGCACUAUUCUACCCUGUGGCAGACACGACCGCCGGAGAGCUAUCUGGCAACCCGCUUGGCUACACACUCGGACUCAUCCGUGAGGCCAAGCGCAACAUGACAGACGACAACAUGGAGUCCAUGGUGGAUUUCAUGGCAUCUCUACAUGGGCGGCCACCUCUCACCAUUGACAAAAUGUAUGAGGUCUCUGACAUGAAAUGGAUUGGACAGGAGGCACUGGACUUCCGAUGGGCGAAGCGAGUUGGCGGCGGCUUACCCAUGGUGGGGGACAUCUCCUUCGACUCUGUGAGUUGCCACAUGAGGUGUAAGAAUGGCAAGGGUCAGGACGUGAUCGUGAUAAACAUGAUAUUGCCAGGACCUGCAAUGGACAAGUUUGAGAAGGAGAUUGCUGUUUGGGUGUGCAAUGGACAAGACGAAAAGUAG